GACGAACGCUGGCGGCGUGCUUAACACAUGCAAGUCGUACGGUAAGGCCCUUUCGGGGGUACACGCGUGGUGAACGGGUGAGUAACACGUCUGUAACCUGCCCACAACUUUGGGAUAACGCUAGGAAACUGGUGCUAAUACUGGAUAUGUGCUCCUGCUGCAUGGUGGGGGUUGGAAAGCUCCGGCGGUUGUGGAUGGACUCGCGGCCUAUCAGCUUGUUGGUGGGGUAGUGGCCUACCAAGGCGGCGACGGGUAGCCGGCCUGAGAGGGUGACCGGCCACAUUGGGACUGAGGGACGGCCCAGACACCUACGGGAGGCAGAAGGGGGGAAGAUUGAACGAUGGGCGCAAGCCUGAUGCAGAAGGGCCGCGGGCGGGAUGACGGCCUUCGGGUUGUAAACCGCUUUCAGCAGGGACGAAGCGUUUUGUGACGGUACCUGCAGAAGAAGCACCGGCUAACUACGUG
Molecule: ribosomal RNA, 465 nt
Filed under: uncultured bacterium
Lineage: Bacteria
Description: partial 16S ribosomal RNA
Rfam family: Bacterial small subunit ribosomal RNA
Source: RNAcentral